UACAGAGGGUGCGAGCGUUAAUCGGAAUUACUGGGCGUAAAGCGUGCGCAGGCGGUGAUGUAAGACAGAUGUGAAAUCCCCGGGCUCAACCUGGGGACUGCAUUUGUGACUGCAUCGCUGGAGUGCGGCAGAGGGGGAUGGAAUUCCGCGUGUAGCAGUGAAAUGCGUAGAUAUGCGGAGGAACACCGAUGGCGAAGGCAAUCCCCUGGGCCUGCACUGACGCUCAUGCACGAAAGCGUAGAAAGCAAACAGG
This 253-nucleotide ribosomal RNA is filed under the name uncultured bacterium. RNAcentral's name for it is "partial 16S ribosomal RNA". It matches the Rfam family "Bacterial small subunit ribosomal RNA", at positions 524 to 776 of the family's 1533-position model. The record is from RNAcentral.